Molecule: transfer RNA, 56 nt
Filed under: Engelhardia spicata var. colebrookeana
Lineage: Eukaryota; Viridiplantae; Streptophyta; Magnoliopsida; Fagales; Juglandaceae
Also listed under: 4 other names
Description: partial tRNA-His
Source: RNAcentral
GGGCGGAUGUAGCCAAGUGGAUCAAGGCAGUGGAUUGUGAACCCACCCAUGCGCGA